Molecule: ribosomal RNA, 602 nt
Filed under: uncultured beta proteobacterium
Lineage: Bacteria; Pseudomonadati; Pseudomonadota; Betaproteobacteria
Description: bacterial SSU rRNA
Rfam family: Bacterial small subunit ribosomal RNA
Source: RNAcentral
CUCCCGUAGGAGUACUCCUACGGGAGGCAGCAGUGGGGAAUUUUGGACAAUGGGCGCAAGCCUGAUCCAGCCAUGCCGCGUGCAGGAUGAAGGCCUUCGGGUUGUAAACUGCUUUUGUACGGAACGAAAAGUCUCUUUCUAAUAAAGAGGGAUCAUGACGGUACCGUAAGAAUAAGCACCGGCUAACUACGUGCCAGCAGCCGCGGUAAUACGUAGGGUGCAAGCGUUAAUCGGAAUUACUGGGCGUAAAGUGUGCGCAGGCGGCCGCGCAAGUCGAGUGUGAAAGCCCCGGGCUCAACCUGGGAAUGGCAUUGGAAACUGGCGGACUCGAGUGUGGCAGAGGGGGGUGGAAUUCCGCGUGUAGCAGUGAAAUGCGUAGAUAUCCGGAGGAACACCAGUGGCGAAGGCGGCUCACUGGACCACAACUGACGCUGAUGCGCGAAAGCUAGGGGAGCAAACAGGAUUAGAUACCCUGGUAGUCCUAGCCCUAAACGAUGAUCGCUUGGUGUGUCGGGUACCCAAUCCCGACGUGCCGCAGCUAACGCGUUAAGCGAUCCGCCUGGGGAGUACGGUCGCAAGGGUAAAACUUAAAGGAAUUGACG